AGAGUUUGAUCAUGGCUCAGAGCGAACGUUAGCGGCGGGCCUAACACAUGCAAGUCGCACGAGAAAGGGGCUUCGGCCCUGAGUAAAGUGGCGGACGGGUGAGUAACACGUGGGUAAUCUGCCCUUCAGCGGGGGACAACAGUCCGAAAGGAUUGCUAAUACCGCAUACGUCGUCGGGGUGUACGCACUCUGACGGGAAAGCCGGCCUCUCCAUGGAAGCUGGCACUGAAGGAGGAGCCCGCGGCCCAUCAGCUAGUUGGUAGGGUAAUGGCCUACCAAGGCUUAGACGGGUAGCUGGUCUGAGAGGAUGAUCAGCCACACUGGGACUGAGACACGGCCCAGACUCCUACGGGAGGCAGCAGUGGGGAAUAUUGGGCAAUGGGCGCAAGCCUGACCCAGCCACGCCGCGUGAGUGAUGAAGGCUUUCGGGUCGUAAAGCUCUGUGGGGAGGGACGAAAAAACGCUGGCUAACAUCCAGCGGACUGACGGUACCUCCUUAGCAAGCACCGGCUAACUCCGUGCCAGCAGCCGCGGUA
Molecule: ribosomal RNA, 536 nt
Filed under: uncultured Pseudomonadota bacterium
Lineage: Bacteria; Pseudomonadati; Pseudomonadota
Description: bacterial SSU rRNA
Rfam family: Bacterial small subunit ribosomal RNA
Source: RNAcentral